RNAcentral lists this ribosomal RNA (818 nucleotides) under uncultured bacterium. RNAcentral's name for it is "bacterial SSU rRNA". It matches the Rfam family "Bacterial small subunit ribosomal RNA", at positions 40 to 881 of the family's 1533-position model. The record is from RNAcentral.
CGGCGUGCUUAACACAUGCAAGUCGAGCGGUAAGGCCCUUUGGGGUACACGAGCGGCGAACGGGUGAGUAACACGUGGGUGACCUGCCCCCUACUCUGGGAUAAGCUUGGGAAACUGGGUCUAAUACCGGAUAUGACUACAUGUCGCAUGGUGUGUGGUGGAAAGAUUUAUUGGUGGGGGAUGGGUCCGCGGCCUAUCAGCUUGUUGGUGGGGUGAUGGCCUACCAAGGCGACGACGGGUAGCCGGCCUGAGAGGGCGACCGGCCACACUGGGACUGAGACACGGCCCAGACUCCUACGGGAGGCAGCAGUGGGGAAUAUUGCGCAAUGGGCGGAAGCCUGACGCAGCGACGCCGCGUGGGGGAUGACGGCCUUCGGGUUGUAAACCUCUUUCGGCCCCGACGAAGCGUGAGUGACGGUAGGGGUAGAAGAAGCACCGGCCAACUACGUGCCAGCAGCCGCGGUAAUACGUAGGGUGCGAGCGUUGUCCGGAAUUAUUGGGCGUAAAGAGCUCGUAGGUGGUCUGUCGCGUCGAUCGUGAAAACUUGGGCUUAACCCUGAGCUUGCGGUCGAUACGGGCAUGACUGGAGUUCGGCAGGGAGACUGGAAUUCCUGGUGUAGCGGUGAAAUGCGCAGAUAUCAGGAGGAACACCGGUGGCGAAGGCGGGUCUCUGGCGAUACUGACGCUGAGAGCGAAAGCGUGGGGAGCGAACAGGAUUAGAUACCUGGUAGUCCACGCCGUAAACGGUGGGCGCUAGGUGUGGGGNCAUUCCACGGUCUCUGUGCCGUAGCUACGCAUUAGGCGCCCCGCUGGGGAGU